GGGGGUGAUCCGGUUUCGACGGGAUAUGCCGAGGUCAGAUCGCGCGUCGUGGAUCCUCGUUGGCCACGUAAAAAACGAGGGAAAAAAGUAAUUGCCAACAACGAUUACGCUCUUGCCGCCUAAUUAAAGGCCGCAUGUCGAAGCGCCGAUGUCUGCUGAGCGCCUAGGCAUCAUUUAGCAGGCCACGCUUAAGGGGGCUCCUCUCGCUCGCUUAAGGGUGCCGAAUCGAGUGGAUGGUUGGGGAUAAGCCCGUUGGUCGGCGUACCUCAGCCGAGAUUAAAGGCCUAAUACACGCGUAGAAGUUUGGUCAGAGCUGUUUCGGACAGGGGUUCGACUCCCCUCACCUCCAUAU
This 352-nucleotide transfer-messenger RNA is filed under the name Kiritimatiellia. RNAcentral describes it as "UBA1067 sp017648225 Standard tmRNA". It matches the Rfam family "transfer-messenger RNA". Rfam says of the family: Bacterial tmRNA, also known as 10Sa RNA or SsrA, is named for its dual tRNA and mRNA-like properties. Its role is to liberate the mRNA from a stalled ribosome. To accomplish this part of the tmRNA is used as a reading frame that ends in a translation stop signal. The record is from RNAcentral. RNAcentral also lists the same sequence under 1 other name. Lineage: Bacteria; Pseudomonadati; Kiritimatiellota.